GACGAACGCUGGCGGCGUGCCUAAUACAUGCAAGUUGAGCGAUGAAGAUUGGUGCUUGCACCAAUUUGAAGAGCAGCGAACGGGUGAGUAACGCGUGGGGAAUCUGCCUUUGAGCGGGGGACAACAUUUGGAAACGAAUGCUAAUACCGCAUAACAACUUUAAACAUAAGUUUUAAGUUUGAAAGAUGCAAUUGCAUCACUCAAAGAUGAUCCCGCGUUGUAUUAGCUAGUUGGUGAGGUAAAGGCUCACCAAGGCGAUGAUACAUAGCCGACCUGAGAGGGUGAUCGGCCACAUUGGGACUGAGACACGGCCCAAACUCCUACGGGAGGAAGCAGUAGGGAAUCUUCGGCAAUGGACGAAAGUCUGGCCGAGCAACGCCGCGUGAGUGAAGAAGGUUUUCGGAUCGUAAAACUCUGUUGGUAGAGAAGAACGUUGGUGAGAGUGGAAAGCUCAUCAAGUGACGGUAACUACCCAGAAAGGGACGGCUAACUACGUG
RNAcentral lists this ribosomal RNA (497 nucleotides) under uncultured bacterium. Its description in RNAcentral is "partial 16S ribosomal RNA". It matches the Rfam family "Bacterial small subunit ribosomal RNA", at positions 28 to 507 of the family's 1533-position model. The record is from RNAcentral.